This 484-nucleotide ribosomal RNA is filed under the name uncultured bacterium. Its description in RNAcentral is "bacterial SSU rRNA". It matches the Rfam family "Bacterial small subunit ribosomal RNA", at positions 28 to 507 of the family's 1533-position model. The record is from RNAcentral.
GNUAAACGCUGGCGGCGUGCAUAACACAUUCAAGUCAACGGGAAUCAAAUGAUGGAGACUUCGGUCGAAAGAGUUUGAGGAUAGUGGCGGACGGGUGAGUAACGCGUGAGUAACCUGCCUUAAUGAGGGGGGAUAACAGUUGGAAACGACUGCUAAUACCGCAUAACGUGUGAAGAAGGCAUCUGAAACACAUCAAAGGAGCAAUCCGCAUUAAGAUGGGCUCGCGUCUGAUUAGAUAGUUGGUGAGGUAACGGGCUCACCAAGUCGACGAUCAGUAGCCGGACUGAGAGGUUGAACGGCCGCAUUGGAACUGAGAUACGGUCCAGACUCCUACGGGAGGCAGCAGUGGGGAAUAUUGGGCAAUGGGCGAAAGCCUGACCCAGCGACGCCGCGUGAGGGAAGAAGGUCUUCGGAUUGUAAACCUUUGUUGACAGGGAAGAAGAAAGUGACGGUACCUGUAAAGAAAGCCACGGCUAACUACGUG